RNAcentral lists this ribosomal RNA (497 nucleotides) under uncultured bacterium. RNAcentral's name for it is "partial 16S ribosomal RNA". It matches the Rfam family "Bacterial small subunit ribosomal RNA", at positions 28 to 507 of the family's 1533-position model. The record is from RNAcentral.
GAUGAACGCUGGCGGCGUGCCUAAUACAUGCAAGUCGAGCGAACAGACGAGGAGCUUGCUCCUCUGACGUUAGCGGCGGACGGGUGAGUAACACGUGGAUAACCUACCUAUAAGACUGGGAUAACUUCGGGAAACCGGAGCUAAUACCGGAUAAUAUAUUGAACCGCAUGGUUCAAUAGUGAAAGACGGUUUUGCUGUCACUUAUAGAUGGAUCCGCGCCGCAUUAGCUAGUUGGUAAGGUAACGGCUUACCAAGGCAACGAUGCGUAGCCGACCUGAGAGGGUGAUCGGCCACACUGGAACUGAGACACGGUCCAGACUCCUACGGGAGGCAGCAGUAGGGAAUCUUCCGCAAUGGGCGCAAGCCUGACGGAGCCACGCCGCGUGAGUGAUGAAGGUCUUCGGAUCGUAAAACUCUGUUAUUAGGGAAGAACAACUGUGUAAGUAACUAUGCACGUCUUGACGGUACCUAAUCAGAAAGCCACGGCUAACUACGUG